RNAcentral lists this long non-coding RNA (681 nucleotides) under Equus caballus (horse). Its description in RNAcentral is "lncRNA (ENSECAG00000056397.1)". The record is from RNAcentral. Lineage: Eukaryota; Metazoa; Chordata; Mammalia; Perissodactyla; Equidae.
UGAAGAUACAUGACACAUUCAAAGAAUAGCCAGUAGUCUAAUCUGGCCAGAGUGUUAAGGGCAUGGAGCUGGAAAAGUGGGGGCUGGGCAGUGAGCAGCAACAUCUGAAACCAGAAAGGUACGUUGGAGCUGAACUGCAAACGGCUCGGUACCAGAUGCCAAGGACUUAGCUCUUAGGAGCAAAAUGGAGGCGAGCGACUACGCAUGGUGAACAGUGGUACAGCUGUCGGUCUCCGCUGGGCAAGGAGAAGAAGUCUGAAAGAGCUCACUCCUAUGCAUGACUUUAUCAGGGGAACUUCCAAAAGACUUACAAGGAUCUAUCUCCUGCCUCACAGGUACCACCUGCAAUUGCUGGUCCAGGGUGCCCAUGCUAAUGAGGAUGAGUGACAGCCAGAUGGAAUCAUCACAGGAUGUAGUACACAAAGAUACUACAAGAGAAAAGAUGCAAGGAAACAGAGGUUGGGAGUGGGGAUGGUGACAAAUUAAAAAGCAUGACCAGAAACAUGACACCACAGACCAGGCAAAGAUUGGCAUCAAGUACAUCACUAUGAAUUCAUAAAAGGAAAUGAAGCUAUUGAUUUAUGAGACAAGAGUUUAAAAUUGGGUUAUAAGUGCCAAGAGAAGAUAAAAUGAUAUAAUCAGAGAUGAAACAAACCCUCAGAAAUAUGAAGGUAACUUUGG